GGAGGUGUAUCGAAGUGGUCAUAACGGCCCUGACUCGAAAUCAGGUAGGGUGAAAGCCCUCGUGGGUUCGAAUCCCACCGCCUCCGCCA
Molecule: transfer RNA, 89 nt
Filed under: Clostridiales bacterium
Lineage: Bacteria; Bacillati; Bacillota; Clostridia; Eubacteriales
Also listed under: 2 other names
Description: tRNA-Ser
Rfam family: tRNA
About the family: Transfer RNA (tRNA) molecules are approximately 80 nucleotides in length.
Source: RNAcentral